RNAcentral lists this transfer RNA (73 nucleotides) under Lactococcus garvieae. Its description in RNAcentral is "tRNA-OTHER". It matches the Rfam family "tRNA". Rfam says of the family: Transfer RNA (tRNA) molecules are approximately 80 nucleotides in length. Their secondary structure includes four short double-helical elements and three loops (D, anti-codon, and T loops). Lineage: Bacteria; Bacillati; Bacillota; Bacilli; Lactobacillales; Streptococcaceae. The record is from RNAcentral. RNAcentral also lists the same sequence under 1 other name.
GUGGUCAUGGUCUAAAGGAAAGACGCUUGUAUAGGGGAUACAAGAGAUACAGGUUCGACUCCUGUUUAUCGCA